GGUAGCCUAGUGGUUAGAGUGUAGAGGUGGCAGGGUAGCCUAGUGGUUAGAGUGUAGAGGUGGCAGGGUAGCCUAGUGGUUAGAGUGUAGAGGUGGCAGGGUAGCCUAGUGGUUAGAGUGUAGAGGUGGCAGGGUAGCCUAGUGGUUAGAGUGUAGAGGAGGCAGGGUAGCCUAGUGGUUAGAGUGUAGAGGUGGCAGGGUAGCCUAGUGGUUAGAGUGUAGAGGUGGCAGGGUAGCCUAGUGGUUAGAGUGUAGAGGUGGCAGGGUAGCCUAGUGGUUAGAGUGUAGAGGUGGCAGGGUAGCCUAGUGGUUAGAGUGUAGAGGUGGCAGGGUAGCCUAGUGGUUAGAGUGUAGAGGUGGCAGGGUAGCCUAGUGGUUAGAGUGUAGAGGUGGCAGGGUAGCCUAGUGGUUAGAGUGUAGAGGUGGCAGGGUAGCCUAGUGGUUAGAGUGUAGAGGUGGCAGGGUAGCCUAGUGGUUAGAGUGUAGAGGUGGCAGGGUAGCCUAGUGGUUAGAGUGUAGAGGAGGCAGGGUAGCCUAGUGGUUAGAGUGUAGAGGUGGCAGGGUAGCCUAGUGGUUAGAGUGUAGAGGUGGCAGGGUAGCCUAGUGGUUAGAGUGUAGAGGUGGCAGGGUAGCCUAGUGGUUAGAGUGUAGAGGUGGCAGGGUAGCCUAGUGGUUAGAGUGUAGAGGUGGCAGGGUAGCCUAGUGGUUAGAGUGUAGAGGUGGCAGGGUAGCCUAGUGGUUAGAGUGUAGAGGUGGCAGGGUAGUCUAGUGGUUAGAGUGUAGAGGAGGCAGGGUAGCCUAGUGGUUAGAGUGUAGAGGCGGCAGGGUAGCCUAGUGGUUAGAGUGUAGAGGCGGCAGGGUAGCCUAGUGGUUAGAGUGUAGAGGCGGCAGGGUAGCCUAGUGGUUAGAGUGUAGAGGCGGCAGGGUAGCCUAGUGGUUAGAGUGUAGAGGCGGCAGGGUAGCCUAGUGGUUAGAGUGUAGAGGCGGCAGGGUAGCCUAGUGGUUAGAGUGUAGAGGCGGCAGGGUAGGCUAGUGGUUAGAGUGUAGAGGCGGCAGGGUAGCCUAGUGGUUAGAGUGUAGAGGCGGCAGGGUAGCCUAGUGGUUAGAGUGUAGAGGCGGCAGGGUAGCCUAGUGGUUAGAGUGUAGAGGCGGCAGGGUAGCCUAGUGGUUAGAGUGUAGAGGCGGCAGGGUAGCCUAGUGGUUAGAGUGUAGAGGCGGCAGGGUAGCCUAGUGGUUAGAGUGUAGAGGUGGCAGGGUAGCUUAGUGGUUAGAGUGUAGAGGCGGCAGGGUAGCCUAGUGGUUAGAGUGUAGAGGUGGCAGGGUAGCGUAGUGGUUAGAGUGUAGAGGUGGCAGGGUAGCCGAGUGGUUAGAGUGUAGUGGUGGCAGGGUAGUGGUUAGAGUGUAGAGGUGGCAGGGUAGCCUAGUGGUUAGAGUGUAGAGGUGGCAGGGUAGCCUAGUGGUUAGAGUGUAGAGGUGGCAGGGUAGCCUAGUGGUUAGAGUGUAGAGGUGGCAGGGUAGCCUAGUGGUUAGAGUGUAGAGGUGGCAGGGUAGCCUAGUGGUUAGAGUGUAGAGGUGGCAGGGUCGCCUAGUGGUUAGAGU
Long non-coding RNA from Oncorhynchus keta (chum salmon), 1599 nucleotides. RefSeq lists it as uncharacterized. Lineage: Eukaryota; Metazoa; Chordata; Actinopteri; Salmoniformes; Salmonidae. The record is from RefSeq and is a predicted model, not a curated record. The transcript has 3 exons.